AGGGGUGUCGCCAAAUGGUUAAGGCACUUGACUCUGACUCAAGCAUGUGAGGGUUCAAAUCCUUCCACCCCUGCCA
Molecule: transfer RNA, 76 nt
Filed under: Candidatus Ornithoclostridium faecigallinarum
Lineage: Bacteria; Bacillati; Bacillota; Clostridia; Christensenellales; Christensenellaceae
Description: tRNA-Gln
Rfam family: tRNA
About the family: Transfer RNA (tRNA) molecules are approximately 80 nucleotides in length. Their secondary structure includes four short double-helical elements and three loops (D, anti-codon, and T loops).
Source: RNAcentral